CCUACGGGAGGCAGCAGCCGAGGAUAUUGGUCAAUGGGGGAAACCCUGAACCAGCGACGCCGCGUGCAGGAAGAAGGCCUUCGGGUUGUAAACUGCUUUUCUGGAGGAAGAACCUUAGGGUGACUGUACUUCAGGAAUAAGGGAUGCUAAUCACGUG
RNAcentral lists this ribosomal RNA (157 nucleotides) under uncultured bacterium. RNAcentral's name for it is "partial 16S ribosomal RNA". It matches the Rfam family "Bacterial small subunit ribosomal RNA", at positions 338 to 507 of the family's 1533-position model. The record is from RNAcentral.